AUAAAUAUAUGAAAUUUGAACCAAGCAAAACAAAAUAAACAAUAAAAUAUUAUUUUUACUUAGCAAUACAUCAGUGUUAUAAGAUUUAGAAUGACUGUACGUAGGGUCCUGAUUAUUCCUUACAAAUAGAGAUUUUUUCAUUUUUGUCUUCUGUCUUCUGUUCCAGAGGCACCCAUCACCAAGAGUUACCCCAACACCUAUCUCAUCAGGACCCACCAGGAGAUCCUCUUCAUGGAAACUGAUACAGCUGAGUAACUUGGAAGGUGACAACACAGCUCUCAGAACUCACCUUCCGUGCAGCCUCCUGUACUUGCACCGGACACUCUUCCUCUUCCGAAGUUACAUUCUGUAUUCCUCCAUGAUGUGCUGAUAAAUGUAAGUGAUACCAAACUGGUGUCAUGGCUUGUGUGUAGAUGUCGUCCCCACCCCCGAAAGUCUCAGGCGGAUGAGACAGGGCUUUCUUUUUCCGAGGUGGCUUAAUCUGGAACCUGUGAUGCUGGGAUUGAGAGAGUGUGAUUACUAAACCACUACAAGUGAGUGCUGGCUUGGCAGUGCUCUAACCCUGGUAGUCUGGAUGGGAUAAAAGGGGCAGAAGGAUACUGUUAAGGUCUCUUGCUGCUUUAGCUGCCUUCUGCUGCUAUGAACUGUUUCUCCUUGGAGCCAGCCAAUCACGGACUCAAACCUCUAUCCCGUGUAAGCCAAAUAAACCUUUCCCCCU
This 718-nucleotide long non-coding RNA is filed under the name Fukomys damarensis (Damara mole-rat). RNAcentral describes it as "lncRNA (ENSFDAG00000030529.1)". The record is from RNAcentral. Lineage: Eukaryota; Metazoa; Chordata; Mammalia; Rodentia; Bathyergidae.